RNAcentral lists this ribosomal RNA (253 nucleotides) under uncultured bacterium. RNAcentral describes it as "partial 16S ribosomal RNA". It matches the Rfam family "Bacterial small subunit ribosomal RNA", at positions 524 to 776 of the family's 1533-position model. The record is from RNAcentral.
UACGUAGGGCCCGAGCGUUGUCCGGAAUUAUUGGGCGUAAAGAGCUCGUAGGCGGUUUGUCGCGUCUGCUGUGAAAUCCCGAGGCUCAACCUCGGGUCUGCAGUGGGUACGGGCAGACUGGAGUGCGGUAGGGGAGAAUGGAAUUCCUGGUGUAGCGGUGGAAUGCGCAGAUAUCAGGAGGAACACCGAUGGCGAAGGCAGUUCUCGGGGCCGUAACUGACGCUGAGGAGCGAAAGCGUGGGGAGCGAACAGG